AGGGACAACUAAUAUGGCACUGCUGUUGCUGAUUGUGUUAUUUACAUCCGAAGUUUCACAGAUCACGGCAUCCUGUGACCAAAAGAAGGAAAUCCCCGCCAAGCCGGCGGAACCUGACGGAACACCUUUAAUUCCACGUAUAUGUUCAGAAAAAGUUUUAAAGUUUCUUCAAAAUGAGAAAGACAUUCAUCUACAAAUGAUGGACCGAGACGAUUAUCUUAACAGUACAUGGCAAUGUUUGAAGUCAGUCUUCAAAGCAAAAUAUACUGAUGGAUGUGAGAGAACGAUACACACAUACAAAUAUGUGAU
Molecule: long non-coding RNA, 309 nt
Organism: Dermacentor andersoni
Lineage: Eukaryota; Metazoa; Arthropoda; Arachnida; Ixodida; Ixodidae
Source: RefSeq, a predicted model, not a curated record